AGUGAACGCUGGCGGUAGGCCUAACACAUGCAAGUCGAACGGCAGCACAGUAAGAGCUUGCUCUUACGGGUGGCGAGUGGCGGACGGGUGAGGAAUACAUCGGAAUCUACUUUUUCGUGGGGGAUAACGUAGGGAAACUUACGCUAAUACCGCAUACGACCUACGGGUGAAAGCAGGGGAUCUUCGGACCUUGCGCGAUUGAAUGAGCCGCUGUCGGAUUAGCUAGUUGGCGGGGUAAAGGCCCACCAAGGCGACGAUCCGUAGCUGGUCUGAGAGGGUGGUCAGCCACACUGGAACGGAGACACGGUCCAGACUCCUGCGGGAGGCAGCAGUGGGGAAUAUUGGACAAUGGGCGCAAGCCUGAUCCAGCCAUACCGCGUGGGUGAAGAAGGCCUUCGGGUUGUAAAGCCCUUUUGUUGGGAGAGAAAAGCAGCAGGUUAAUACCCCGCUGUUCUGACGGUACCCAAAGAAUAAGCACCGGCUAACUUCGUG
RNAcentral lists this ribosomal RNA (492 nucleotides) under uncultured bacterium. RNAcentral describes it as "partial 16S ribosomal RNA". It matches the Rfam family "Bacterial small subunit ribosomal RNA", at positions 29 to 507 of the family's 1533-position model. The record is from RNAcentral.